Molecule: long non-coding RNA, 1868 nt
Organism: Cygnus olor (mute swan)
Lineage: Eukaryota; Metazoa; Chordata; Aves; Anseriformes; Anatidae
Exons: 2
Source: RefSeq, a predicted model, not a curated record
CCACAGUGUCACACGUCCCCAUGAAGCAAUGCCAGCAUUUUUAGGCAGGCAAGCUCAGGGGAAAGAAAGUCCUUCAAGAACAAGGGAGGCCACCAGAGAACCUCGAUGCUGGAGCGUCCCCAGACCAGCACAGCACAUGACAGACGGAGUUUUUCUGCAAAAUUAAGGCAGAACACCAGAGGGGAACAAUUGGAACAUCCACCCCAAGGACAGACAACAUUGAGAAAAGAUGGAGACAGCACAGACAGAAAAGAGCAUAUGGGCUUAAGAGUAAGAAGGCUUUUUGUUAUUGUUUUAACCAAGCAGCAUUUAUCACCAUUUUCCAUCAGAAGCACAACAAUCACACACAUGCACACAAAAAAAAUAAAUUGUGAAACUAAUAAAACUCCAACCAUCUGAAACAUGAAUGCCUGAAAUUAAUCUGGAAAUCUGAACACCCGAAACAAAAGUUCUGCAAACGUGAUUCCCAAAUCAAGAGAACAAUGUUGGUAUUGUUGUUUGGAAAAACAAAGGCUCGGCACAGACCCAUGAGGAAGAGCAGCAGGCCACUCCACUGCCCCCCCAAGGGCUUGCUUGCCCAGGACUUAUUAAAAAUCUGCAGCUCGUGUAGCUUUGCACCAUACCAGUCCAGAUUUUACCACAUGGGACCAAUCUGGCAGCCCCACCAGCAAGAGUCAAUGACAACCACACCAUUAGCUCAGAAGAAAACUUUUUAUGAAAGUCAGCCUGGAAACGCCUGAAUAAACUUCAGAGCUCCUAAACAGUUACUAUGGAGUCACUAUGGAAACGAGCGCUGAAUUAAGCCAAACGCUAAUCUGGGCAAAAUACAAGAAAGAAUGCUUAGAGUCAUUUAGCUCCCGGGCUGCAAGGCUUGCUGCUCAAACAGAAGACUGGCUCACACCUCCAAGUCCCAGCUCCUCUUUCCUUGCUCAAAAGUACACACUAGGAAGCAGCUUAGCAUACAGUUAAAGGGUACGUUUACCAAAACAGUCCAGAAGCAAGGUACAGUAGCAGCAGGAGUCUUCUGUGACUUGGGGGACAGAAGGGAGUCGUCCUUGCAGAAGCGUUGUUUGAAGCGGUACCUUGCAGAUCCAGCAAGGUGUUUGCAGUCCAAGAGGUGAGGAUAUCUUGCAAGAAGGCAGCGGUUUCCGGUUUUCACAUUGAACAAGUGUACAGCAGAGUGGUAAAAGCACAGGCAUGGCCUCUGAGCUUACAGAAGUCCGCCUCUCUGAGUGCUUCACAUAAGUGGUCACAGGAGGAGAACAUCAUCAAGGAGCUACAGCAGUGUAAACAUGAAAUGCCAAAGUAGUUAUUAAAAUAGUAUUUUAUUUUAUUAAUAAAAACUAAACAGCAUUAUGACAUGGAUUCUAUUUUUUCUUUUUUCCAGUUUCCUUUGAACUACUCUGAUCAUCUCUUUUUGAGGCAAAGCCAUAUCUAUCAUUCCUGUGCUGAUCCUGCCACUCACUCUCCAGCUGUCUCAGCAUCUCUUGUGUUAGAAGUCCUUCACGCAGCAAUCUGUUGGCAAGCGAUCCACGUCCAUGGCUUUUCAAAUCCUCCUGCCUCAUAGAAGACCUGUAAGCUUUCAAGCUCCUGACUCUACUUUCUCCUGGAACCUCCAGUGCAACAGAGAGUGGCUCUGUGGAUUUUGCACCACGAUGGUCUGAAAACAUCCUACUAUCUCUUUUAGUCCUUGAAAGAGGAAAGUCUUCUGACACAACUUCUGCCGCUCCAGAAGCAGCACUAGACUGCGAAGCUCGGAUCAGCUUUGUGAUGUUGCAGACACCAAUUUGUAUAAUGUCGUCUAGUUUUUUCUGAAUAUUCCUUACAAGGGCAGCAUCAGGGAACAUAUCCAUGAAGCGGUAACUGAA